UAUACUCAAAGAAAAAGGAAAGACAAGGAUCCUAAUCAACCAAUUAGAAGAAAACAAAGGACCACUCGAGGCAAUAGUCAAGCUAGCCAAAAAUGAAAAUUAUGCAGAAGAGUACUGAUUGUUGGUUUAUCUCUAGUAAUGUAGGUGUGGGCUAAUUCUUUUGCAAGGCUGUCACAUGUCCUCUGUUUUUCCUCAAAUAUUCUUCGGUUUCUUUCAAUCCAGAGAGAGUGUACACAUUUAACAAAGACAAGUUUGAAGAUUAUAUUCUUGCUUCUUGAGAUUUUCCUUUAGCAUUCUUUACGACCCACGUUGUAUAGUCCUCCCAUGUACUUAUAGUGAUUGCAUCUUUAUGUAUCUAGCGAAGCACCCGAGUCCAGAGGGUCUUGCAAAAGGGCAAGAAAGGAAAAGAUGAUCCUUAGUUUCAUCUUGCAUUAGACAUAGAACAUAAGUAGGAGAAAUUUUGAGACUCCAUUUAAGAAGUCUGUCCAUAGUUAGUAAUAUCCCAUGAAAAUGAAGCCACAUAGUAAAUUUUGCCUUGAUCGUGCAUCAUACUCAAACAUCAAGCAUUUCCAAGGCGUAGAUGGUUCAACAGGAAGGAGAGCAUGGUAGAAAUGUUUGAUGAGGUUAUGAGAGAAAGUUGAAACCUGACAAACUAAAGCAACAAUGUCUCUAGCAGAUAUGAUUUGUUUGAUCAUCCAAGAUGCCUUAGGAACCUCAUUGAAAAGUCUGUCUUUUAUAUAGCAUGUAUGAACCCAUCUCACCCAUUUGUCCGCUUUAUUGUCUACAUCUUGCAAUAACAAUUUUGUUCCAGAAUCUCUAGUUAAUCAGAUUUAGUCCUCCUGUGGCAAUAGGUGAGCAAACCUUAUCCCAUGCUACUAAUGCCUUUUUAGUGAUUGUGUUUGCCCCAUACCACAUAUAACUCUGACAAUACGCAUCAAUCACUUUGACAACUUUAGUAGGAAUUGUAAAGAGUUGAGCCCAAUAGGCCUGCAUGCCAAACAACACGGAUUGAAUCAUUUGUUCUCGCUUAUUAUUCUAUUAUUUUCUAUUUGGACCCUUGUAAUUGAAUGAGACACAGUAGUAAUUUAUUUUUUUAAUAAAUCUCACCUUGUUUCUUUUUAUUUAUUUCUUAUAUUGAAAUUAAUUACUUUUUACUUAUUAAUUUUAGUAAAGCACGAAAGAUUUUUACAUUUUUUUAUACUUCCUCCGUCUCAUUUUACUCGUCUCAAUUUGGCAUUGCAUAUUGAUUAAGAAAAAUAAUUAAUAACAUACCUACUUUACCAUCGCAUCCCUAUUAAAUUAUGUUUACAUUUUAAUUUGGAGAAAAAAAUAAUUAAUACUAAGGGUAAAAAAGAAAAGAAAAAGUUGUCUUGUCUUGAUUAAUGAAAAAUGACAAGUAAAAUAAAAAAUUAAAUUAAGAAAUCUUAGACGAGUAAAAUGGGAUGAAGGAAGUAUCAUUUUUAUUAUUAAGUAACUGUAUAUGUCACACCCCUUUUUAACUCCAAGAAAAAUUAUUUUUAUGGGUUUCGAAAGGAUUUUAUUUAUUAAAGUGACAAAAAUGAGGAUUUAUUUCGAAAAAGAAUUAUUUAUAUUUUUUAUUCAGAGUCGUCACUUGACAUAAUCCGGUGUGCCAAGUCACCUUUGGAGAAUCCUUUUCGAAAUGAUUUGACUCUUUACAAAACUGGUUUGCGACAAAGAUUCCGGCUAAGAAAUUCUGUUGACCGAGGGGAAGGUGUUAGGCAUCCCUCGAUCCCAUGGUUCGCCCACGGUCGCUUGGUGGAGCAUAUCAGCUAAUUUGACAUUACAAAUGCAUAAUCCACACAAAAACACAUAAACAAUCAAUCAAACACGAAACAAAACAAAUCCAAAAUAUAGUGUUCAGUCCAAUUAUACAGUUCAAAAUAAAAAAUGCGAAAAAAUAAAUCCUAUUCUAACCUACACUAAUCCUAAACUAUGCUCCAGUGCUUUACCUGAUGCCUCGAUCCUUCGUCACGGGCGUCUUCCGAGUACAAAAUACCGCGGGGCAUUUCCCGGCGAAUAAACACAAAUAUCUCAGGGCAUUUUCCGCCAAAUAAUACAUUUGAUCCAAAAGCAAUAAAACCAAGCCAUUCAACACAUGUUUCGAGCAUUCAACAUUCCACAAUUCCUAAAACUUGCCAACCCGAACCUACUAUUUGCCUACCCAACUCGAUCUAUCAUGGCACUAUCACGAUCGACGACGUCAAUGAAUCAAAACAACAAAAAAAUUAAAAUUAAUCCUAAUUAAGAUUAGCAAUUUUUCAAUUCCGCUCCAAAUUCAUUCUCAACCAAUGAUUAACACAUGCAUCGAUUAUCAAUUCAUUUUUCAACAUUCAAAUCCAACAUCAACCAAUACACAAUCAAGAUUCAAACAUACCAACACAUAAAUCAUUCACGAUUACGUAAAAAUUAAAAAAAGAGGAGAUAGAAUUGGACCUCAGUGCUUUCAAAAAUCGAUGUAUUAUUUCGAUUAACCUGGUAGAAUCCGCAUCCAAAAUCCUCGAACAAAACCCUCCAUCACGAUCAAGAAUCCAACUCGGUAUCAAGAAAGUGAACCCAAAACUGAUUACGGUGAAUUGAUUGGGACGAAACAGAAUCUAAAUCCAAAAAUCAGUUCAAAGACAGAUGAGCCAAGACCAAAAUUGCAACAGAGUAAAUCGAACCCGUCAAAAUUCUCAGCAAACAAACUCACAACUUGAACAAAAAACCCCCAAAAACCCGAACUUACCCAAACAAUCCCACUGAACCUUUUCGAUUUUUAUCUUUUUCCGAUGAAAGUUGACCAGAAUAAAAUGAAACGACUCAAAGUUUUAUGGAUUAGACGGCUGACUUACUUUUCGACGAGAUUCAGAUGGAAAAUCGGGAUCGGUAUUAACUUCUUGAUGCGAGCAUGGUUGGAACGAGAUUAGCGGAGCUUUCUCGGUGGCAAUUCUAGUGAGUCACCAGCGAGAGCUUUGUCGGAAAGCAGUCCAAUUGCCUCUCUGUCUCUCUCUCAAUCUCUCUGGUUUGCUUAAAUCUCUCUUACCUUCAACGAUUUCUCACAGUUUCUCUUUUAACUCUCUAUGCCUCUCUCCAUCUCUUACUCUCACUCUCCUCUCUUCCUCUUACUGUGUGUAUUUUUUGAGUUUUCAGUGAGCUGGUGAAAAUGCUAUGCCAGUGGAAUUGGGGAUUUUGUGGUGAUCAGUGAAUAAGAAAAGGAAAAAAAUGGCGCGGUGUGUUCUAUGUUGAGAAAAAAAAGAAUCCAGUGGUGUGUAUAUUCUGUGUAUAUGGAUUGGUCAAGAAGAAAAGAAAAUCCCCUGUACCUGUGUGUUUUUGGAAAAAUGGAUAAGAAGUCCAAAGAGAAAGGAAAAAAAGGCCUCCCCUAAUCUAUUCCAGUGAAUGGAAAUUAUAUUGAUGGAAUGUGGGGUCCAUGAGUGAGGUGUCUAUUUUGAUUGGGUAAGUUAUUAGGAUGAGGUGUAAAGUUGGUUAGGAUAGAAUUAAAACAAGAUAAAAUUUGUUAAGGAUUAUGUUAAGGGUUGUUAUUAUUUUUUUGUAGGGUAUAAUUAUAUGGAUGAGGGUGUACAAUAAAGUGAGGUAAAAAUGAAUAAAAUUAGACUUGGGAGGGAUAAAAUUAGGUAUCUACGACAUGCCCCCUUUGAAUGUAAACAUGAAGUGUUUUCAAACAAAGAAGUAGACAACGAGAUAAAAUUUUGUCCCAACUAUUAUUCAAAAAGAAUGAAAUAGAAAGAAGGAGGAAAACCAAGUCUUGACUUUGGAAAUCAUACUUAUCCCUAGUUAUGGGGGAAUCAAGUCACAGGUAUCCCAAGGACUGAAAGAAGAGGGACUAUACCGAGUUGGAGAGUCGAGCGAGGUUCUGUCGAGGUUCCGAUCUGCGGCUCUGUCAUUACAUCAAAACAAAAAUUACAAGUUAAAACAUAAAUGAAAUUACAAAAGUCCUCUCUAUGC
RNAcentral lists this long non-coding RNA (3963 nucleotides) under Capsicum annuum. Its description in RNAcentral is "long non-coding RNA (CANN_LNC003725)". The record is from RNAcentral. Lineage: Eukaryota; Viridiplantae; Streptophyta; Magnoliopsida; Solanales; Solanaceae.